GAUGAACGCUGGCGGCGUGCCUCAGACAUGCAAGUCGAACGAUUAAGACUUCCUUCGGGAAGUGCAUAAAGUGGCGCACGGGUGAGUAACACGUAAGUAAUCUACCCUCGAGUGGGGAAUAACGUCCGGAAACGGACGCUAAUACCGCAUAAUGCAGCGGCAUCGUAAGAUGACAGUUGUUAAAGAUUUAUCGCUUGAAGAGGAGCUUGCGGCAGAUUAGCUAGUUGGUAAGGUAAUGGCUUACCAAGGCUACGAUCUGUAACCGGUCUUAGAGGACGGUCGGUCACACUGACACUGAAUAACGGGUCAGACUCCUACGGGAGGCAGCAGUGAGGAAUAUUGCGCAAUGGCCGAAAGGCUGACGCAGCGACGCCGCGUGAGGGAUGAAGUCCGUUAGGAUGUAAACCUCUUUUGCAGGGGAUGAACGUCUCGCUAUACGCGGGAUUGACCGUACCUUGCGAAUAAGGAUCGGCUAACUACGUGCCAGCAGCCGAC
This 495-nucleotide ribosomal RNA is filed under the name uncultured bacterium. Its description in RNAcentral is "bacterial SSU rRNA". It matches the Rfam family "Bacterial small subunit ribosomal RNA", at positions 28 to 518 of the family's 1533-position model. The record is from RNAcentral.